This 313-nucleotide unclassified non-coding RNA is filed under the name fungal sp. Its description in RNAcentral is "partial internal transcribed spacer region". The stretch from base 1 to 46 matches the Rfam family "Eukaryotic small subunit ribosomal RNA", at positions 1786 to 1831 of the family's 1831-position model. The record is from RNAcentral. Lineage: Eukaryota; Fungi.
AAGUCGUAACAAGGUAUCCGUAGGUGAACCUGCGGAUGGAUCAUUAACACAUCUCUCCAAAACCCUUUUGUUUUUUUGUCUCUCUCUCUUUUGAGAACAAACAAAACAAAAGGUAACACCCCUUUCACAGCGAACUUGUCAACGGUGAGAGGCUGCAUGUCUGCAGAUCUCUUGCCGUUCGUUUUUUUUUCUCUCCUCUUCUCUUUCUUUUAAAAAAACCCAAUCCACAACCAAAACGAAUUCGUCUAAAACAACAACAACAACAAAAAAAGAAUUGAAUGUACAACUCUUAACAACGGAUAUCUUGGUUCUC